This 75-nucleotide transfer RNA is filed under the name Oligoflexales bacterium. RNAcentral's name for it is "tRNA-Thr". It matches the Rfam family "tRNA". Rfam says of the family: Transfer RNA (tRNA) molecules are approximately 80 nucleotides in length. Their secondary structure includes four short double-helical elements and three loops (D, anti-codon, and T loops). Lineage: Bacteria; Pseudomonadati; Bdellovibrionota; Oligoflexia; Oligoflexales. The record is from RNAcentral.
GCCCGGGUAGCUCAGGGGUAGAGCACGUCCUUGGUAAGGACGAGGUCGCUGGUUCAAAGCCAGUCUCGGGCUCCA